Molecule: ribosomal RNA, 252 nt
Filed under: uncultured bacterium
Lineage: Bacteria
Description: partial 16S ribosomal RNA
Rfam family: Bacterial small subunit ribosomal RNA
Source: RNAcentral
UACGGAGGAUGCGAGCGUUAUCCGGAUUUAUUGGGUUUAAAGGGUGCGUAGGCGGGAUGCCAAGUCAGCGGUAAAAAUGCGGUGCUUAACGCCGUCGAGCCGUUGAAACUGGCGUUCUUGAGUGGGCGAGAAGUAUGCGGAAUGCGUGGUGUAGCGGUGAAAUGCAUAGAUAUCACGCAGAACUCCGAUUGCGAAGGCAGCAUACCGGCGCCCUACUGACGCUGAGGCACGAAAGCGUGGGUAUCGAACAGG